AGUGAACGCUGGCGGUAGGCCUAACACAUGCAAGUCGAACGGCAGCACAGGAGAGCUUGCUCUCUGGGUGGCGAGUGGCGGACGGGUGAGGAAUACAUCGGAAUCUACUCUGUCGUGGGGGAUAACGUAGGGAAACUUACGCUAAUACCGCAUACGACCUACGGGUGAAAGCAGGGGAUCUUCGGACCUUGCGCGAUUGAAUGAGCCGAUGUCGGAUUAGCUAGUUGGCGGGGUAAAGGCCCACCAAGGCGACGAUCCGUAGCUGGUCUGAGAGGAUGAUCAGCCACACUGGAACUGAGACACGGGCCAGACUCCUACGGGAGGCAGCAGUGGGGAAUAUUGGACAAUGGGCGCAAGCCUGGUCCAGCCAUACCGCGUGGGUGAAGAAGGCCUUCGGGUUGUAAAGCCCUUUUGUUGGGAAAGAAAUCCAGCUGGCUAAUACUCGGUUGGGAUGACGGUACCCAAAGAAUAAGCACCGGCUAACUUCGUGCCAGCAGCCGCGGUAA
RNAcentral lists this ribosomal RNA (506 nucleotides) under uncultured bacterium. Its description in RNAcentral is "partial 16S ribosomal RNA". It matches the Rfam family "Bacterial small subunit ribosomal RNA", at positions 29 to 523 of the family's 1533-position model. The record is from RNAcentral.